UCUUGAGCUGGUGUCGAGAGGGUGGAGGGUUUAUUCCCGCCGCCCACACAACCCUUAUCCCUAGUUGGUACGCAAGAGCACUCUAGGGAGGCAAACCGGUGUGGACCUGGAGGAAGGUGGGGAUGACGUCAAGUCCUCAUGCCCCUUAUGGGUAGGGCUUCACACGUCAUACAAUGGUGGAAACAAAGGGUCGCCAACCCGUGAGGGGGAGCCAAUCCCAGAAAAACGGUCUCAGUUCGGAUCGCACUCUGCAACUCGAGUGCGUGAAGCUGGAAUCGCUAGUAAUCGCGGAUCAGCAUGCCGCGGUGAAUACGUUCCCGGGUCUUGUACACACGAAACCGUCACACCAUGGGAGUGGGUUUUGCCAGAAGUCGCUAGUCUAAUCCGCAAGGAGGGCGCUCCCCCCUCUCUCUUUGUUAAGUGCAUGACUGGGGUGAUGUCGUAACAAGGUAGCCGUA
Molecule: ribosomal RNA, 458 nt
Filed under: uncultured bacterium
Lineage: Bacteria
Description: bacterial SSU rRNA
Rfam family: Bacterial small subunit ribosomal RNA
Source: RNAcentral